CGAAGAAGCUGCAGGGCCGGCCCGUGUGCCUAUAACUUAACGAGUAAGGCAGCGCAGUGUCAUCCAGCCGUGAAGCCAUUUGGUGGAGAGGAGGAGGAGUGGGCCAGCUGAAGGCUAACCCCAGGAGCCCCCUUAACCCACGGUGGUUGAGAGCCCAGUCAAUCAGACGCAAUGAUGUUAAACUCCUCUCCAAUGAAUACCCUUCACCAGUCAUCAGAGAGAUUGUCUGUGUCUGGCGGCUGAUUAGGAGCUCAUCUCAAGCCGGUGGAGCAGCAGGGGGAAGGCUGGUAGUUAGCUGGAUAACUGCAUAUGAGAUGAGCUGCAGCACUCCCGUCACAAUGCCUGGACGACAUAAUAGGGAUGGAAAUAUGCCGAGAAGAACAGAGUAUCCAGUCACUCACUGUGACUCCCUCUUUCAACCAGAAAAAAACCCACAAGCAUGUGUUGUUUACAAAAACCCUUUUUGACAUAAUCUCUUUUUUUUCCUCAGAAGCCAUAAGCAGUCCCUCGCCCCCCAAAGUGUAUUCAAUCACACACACAGAAAGACAAUAUGCUUG
Seriola aureovittata is the source of this 557-nucleotide long non-coding RNA. RefSeq lists it as uncharacterized. The record is from RefSeq and is a predicted model, not a curated record. NCBI's taxonomy places the organism in Eukaryota, Metazoa, Chordata, Actinopteri, Carangiformes, Carangidae. The transcript is spliced from 4 exons.